AACGCUAGCUACAGGCUUAACGCAUGCAAGUCGAGGGGCAGCACUAGGUAGCAAUACUGAGGUGGCGACCGGCGCACGGGUGCGUAACGCGUAUCCAACCUUCCCGUUACUCUUGGAUAGCCUUCCGAAAGGGAGAUUAAUACAAGAUGGUAUUCAAAUUCCGCAUGUUAUUUGAAUUAAAGAUUUAUCGGUAACGGAUGGGGAUGCGUGACAUUAGAUAGUAGGCGGGGUAACGGCCCACCUAGUCUACGAUGUCUAGGGGUUCUGAGAGGAAGGUCCCCCACACUGGAACUGAGAUACGGUCCAGACUCCUACGGGAGGCAGCAGUGAGGAAUAUUGGUCAAUGGUCGGAAGACUGAACCAGCCAAGUAGCGUGAAGGAUGAAGGUUCUAUGGAUUGUAAACUUCUUUUAUACGGGAAUAAAACACCUUACGUGUAGGGUCUUGUAUGUACCGUAUGAAUAAGCAUCGGCUAACUCCGUGCCAGCAGCCGCGGUAAUACGGAGGAUGCGAGCGUUAUCCGGAUUUAUUGGGUUUAAAGGGAGCGUAGACGGGAUGUUAAGUCAGUUGUGAAAGGCUGCGGCUCAACCGCAGCACUGCAGUUGAUACUGGCGUCCUUGAGUGCGGUUGAGGUAUGUGGAAUUCGUGGUGUAGCGGUGAAAUGCUUAGAUAUCACGAAGAACUCCGAUUG
RNAcentral lists this ribosomal RNA (690 nucleotides) under uncultured bacterium. RNAcentral describes it as "bacterial SSU rRNA". It matches the Rfam family "Bacterial small subunit ribosomal RNA", at positions 32 to 715 of the family's 1533-position model. The record is from RNAcentral.